CUUCAGAGUACUUAACUUUUUCUGGUCCACCGUAAGCAAUGUUAAACCAAACAAAUUAAUGCUUAAACAUGCCUUAGAUUUCUGUGUCCUGAACUUCUUGUUUUCAUUUCUUCCAGGCAAGUCUUUGUGUCUCCCUCUCUGGAGACUCCUAUGUUAAGGCUAUGAAUCUGAUUAGAUUCCAAAAUGUAAGAGCAAGACAUCUCGUUCUUGUCCAUACUCUUGAAAAUGUUAUCCUAAUCUCUCAAGAACAUUAAGGACAUUAAGGCUAUGAAGAGAUGGAGAACAAUUGAAGUUCCAUUACAAGCCAAUUUCUUUUCUGGAGUUCAACCCAGGAAUCCAUCUUCCCUAUCAUCUGCUGUUAUUCGUAGUCUAGAGAGUAACCCUUCUUCCUCCCUCCUACCCCAGCA
This 407-nucleotide long non-coding RNA is filed under the name Numida meleagris (helmeted guineafowl). RNAcentral describes it as "lncRNA (ENSNMEG00000017894.1)". Lineage: Eukaryota; Metazoa; Chordata; Aves; Galliformes; Numididae. The record is from RNAcentral.